UGGUGGUUCAGUGGUAGAAUUCUCACCUUUCAGGUGGAAGACCCAGGUUCAAUUCCCGGCCA
This 62-nucleotide transfer RNA is filed under the name Loxodonta africana (African savanna elephant). It matches the Rfam family "tRNA", at positions 5 to 66 of the family's 71-position model. Rfam says of the family: Transfer RNA (tRNA) molecules are approximately 80 nucleotides in length. Their secondary structure includes four short double-helical elements and three loops (D, anti-codon, and T loops). Lineage: Eukaryota; Metazoa; Chordata; Mammalia; Proboscidea; Elephantidae. The record is from Rfam by way of RNAcentral.